GGAUGCUCUUUCACAUGACACAUGUCUACCUCUCGUAAACAUGCCUAUCAUGCUGUUAUAUGCCUUCUGGUGAUCGGAGCAUCGGUUGGGCUGAUACCCGGAAAUCGGCAAAGGAACACAUAUUGAAGACUCCGAAAAUGACAGACAUCAGACAUGCUCAUCUCAUUCUCAAGCGCGGUAUCUUUAAACCCAGACGCUAGAUAAGCUAUCGGAGUCCUUGGCCUUGGCUUUGCCUUUAUCCUCUGGGUUCCAAUCAUUUUAUUAGACUUUUAAAAGAAAUAAAAAUAAACAAGUUCACAAAAGGAAGUAACAAGGGUAUGCUGAAGGAUCAACAGGGAAGGAAGGAUUCUGUUAAGGAAAAACAGUGUGAGCGUUUGCAUCUGCUUGACAUCGUGAAUGUAAUGACAUAUAACAAC
This 416-nucleotide small RNA is filed under the name Histoplasma capsulatum var. duboisii H88. RNAcentral describes it as "Histoplasma capsulatum H88 hypothetical RNA". The record is from RNAcentral. Lineage: Eukaryota; Fungi; Ascomycota; Eurotiomycetes; Onygenales; Ajellomycetaceae.